AGAACGAACGCUGGCGGCGUGCUUAACACAUGCAAGUCGAACGAGAAAAUUCCCUUCGGGGGAUGAGUAAAGUGGCGCACGGGUCCGUAACACGUGGACAACCUACCUUAAGGUGGGGCACAACCCGUCGAAAGAUGGGCUAAUACCCCAUAAGACCACGGAAUCUUUGGAUUCUGAGGUAAAAAGUGGCCUCUUCUUGAAAGCCAUUGCCAUUAGAUGGGUCCGCGUACCAUUAGCUUGUUGGUGAGGUAACGGCUCACCAAGGCCGAGAUGGUUAGCUGGUCUGAGAGGACGAUCAGCGACACUGGAACUGAGACACGGUCCAGACUCCUACGGGAGGCAGCAGUGGGGAAUAUUGGACAAUGGGCGAAAGCCUGAUCCAGCAACGCCGCGUGAGUGAUGAAGGCCCUCGGGUUGUAAAGCUCUGUCAGAAGGAAAGAAUUAAGGUGACCUAAUACGUCAUCUGAUGACGGUACUUUCAAAGGAAGCACCGGCUAACUCUGUGCCAGCAGCCGCGGUAAGACAGAGGGUGCUAGCGUUGUUCGGAAUCACUGGGCGUAAAGGGUGUGUAGGCGGUGGUGUGUGUCCGAUGUGAAAGCCCUCGGCUUAACCGGGGAAGUGCACCGGAAACUACAUCACUGGAGUACGAGAGAGGGUGGCGGAAUUCCCAGAGUAGAGGUGAAAUUCGUAGAUACUGGGAGGAACACCGGAGGCGAAGGCGGCCACCUGGCUCGUUACUGACGCUGAGACACGAAAGCGUGGGGAGCAAACAGGAUUAGAUACCCUGGUAGUCCACGCUGUAAACGAUGUUCACUAGGUGUCGGAGGAAUUGACCCCUUCGGCGCCGACGCUAACGCAUUAAGUGAACCGCCUGGGGAGUACGGUCGCAAGACUA
Molecule: ribosomal RNA, 895 nt
Filed under: uncultured bacterium
Lineage: Bacteria
Description: bacterial SSU rRNA
Rfam family: Bacterial small subunit ribosomal RNA
Source: RNAcentral